RNAcentral lists this ribosomal RNA (1221 nucleotides) under Triticum aestivum (bread wheat). RNAcentral describes it as "partial small subunit ribosomal RNA". The record is from RNAcentral. Lineage: Eukaryota; Viridiplantae; Streptophyta; Magnoliopsida; Poales; Poaceae.
AUGCUGCAAACACGGCCUGCGAUCUUCAAUCCAAUACUUUGUGGAGCACGCCUACUGCAGCAAUGGGCGGUUGACAUGUACAUCAAGAUUGAGAGCUGUCAGUUGAGGUGGUACAGGAAGAACCAGACGCAGAUCCGUGCCGAUUUGUAUAAAGGAGUUGUUGAUGCGAUCACAUCGGGUGAGACGCGAGCAAGCGCUGUUGGGGUAAGAAUAGUGCUCCCUGGAACUUACCCUGGUGGCGACCGCGACAUGAAGAAGAGACAUAUGGAUGCCAUGGCAAUUGUCCAUACAUACGGGAAGCCUGACAUCUUCUUGACCAUGACUUGCAACCCUAAAUGGGAAGAGAUAACAAAUGAGUUGCUUCCUGGACAGACGGCGCAAGACCGACCUGAUAUUGUGGCUCGCGUGUUCUAUGGCAAACUAGAGGCUAUGAAAGAUAUGUUGCUCAAGAAGAUGGUCCUGGGUGUUGUUGUUGCUUAUGUUUACGUAGUUGAGUUCCAGAAGAGAGGCCUCCCCCACGCACAUUUUUUGUUGAUCAUGGAUUCAACGUAUAAGCUUCUUGUCCCAGAGCAGUAUGACCGACUCAUUUCCGCAGAGCUCCCAGACAAGCAAAAGUAUCCUGAAUUGUAUGCAAUGGUGGUAAAACAUAUGAUGCACGGACCAUGCGGUGCUCUCAACCCGAAGAAUGUUUGCAUGCAAGAUAAUGAAUGCAAGUGCAGAUACCCGCGGCCGUUCAAUGAGAACACGAUACAAGGCAAGGACUCAUACCCAGUUUAUCGACGUAGAGACGAUGGUAGACACGCUAAGGUUCGAGGGAAAAUGUUGGACAACCGAUGGGUUGUGCCAUAUAACCCUUACCUUCUGCGGAUGUUUAAUUGCCACAUCAACGUCGAGGUCUGCUCUAGCAUAAAGGCUAUAAAAUACAUUUAUAAGUACAUUUAUAAGGGCCAUGAUAAGGCUUCUUUCAGCAUCGACCAGCCAGACGCUGAUGGUAACAUUGAUGAGAUCAAGAGAUACGUUGACGCAAGAUGGGUCACCCCUCCGGAGGCUAUGUGGAGGAUAUUUGGCUUCCCACUGUGUGCCAAUUACCCGCCUGUCUUGCAGUUGCCUCUUCAUCUCCCGAAUAUGCACAGGGUUGCAUUCAAUGCACAGGCUGACUUGAAGAAUGUUGUAUCCUCCGAGAAUGCUUCAAAAUCCAUGUUAACGGAGUAUUUCAAGGCA